Molecule: ribosomal RNA, 253 nt
Filed under: uncultured bacterium
Lineage: Bacteria
Description: partial 16S ribosomal RNA
Rfam family: Bacterial small subunit ribosomal RNA
Source: RNAcentral
UACAGAGACCUCAAACGUUGUCCGGAUUUAUUGGGCGUAAAGGGUCCGCAGGCGGCUUUGCACGUCGAUGGUCAAAUCAUCGGGCUCAACCCGGUGGCUGCCGUCGAUACGACAAAGCUAGAGUAUGGGAGAGGUAAGCGGAAUUGCCGGUGUAGUAGUAAAAUGCGUUCAUAUCGGCAAGAACACCAAAUGCGAAGGCAGCUUACUGGAACAUUACUGACGCUCAGGGACGAAAGCGUGGGGAGCGAAAGGG